RNAcentral lists this ribosomal RNA (468 nucleotides) under uncultured bacterium. Its description in RNAcentral is "partial 16S ribosomal RNA". It matches the Rfam family "Bacterial small subunit ribosomal RNA", at positions 28 to 507 of the family's 1533-position model. The record is from RNAcentral.
GACGAACGCUGGCGGUGUGCUUAACACAUGCAAGUCGAACGGUAAGGCCCUUUCGGGGGUACACGAGUGGCGAACGGGUGAGUAACACGUGAGUAACCUGCCCUCAUCUCUGGGAUAACAGUCGGAAACGGUUGCUAAUACUGGAUAUGAGCUUGCAAGGCAUCUUGUGGGUUGGAAAGAUUUUUUUUGGUUGGGGAUGGACUCGCGGCCUAACAGCUUGUUGGUGAGGUAGUGGCUCACCAAGGCUUCGACGGGUAGCCGGCCUGAGAGGGCGACCGGCCACAUUGGGACUGAGAUACGGCCCAAACUCCUACGGGAGGCAGCAGUGGGGAAUAUUGCACAAUGGACGGAAGUCUGAUGCAGCAACGCCGCGUGCGGGAUGACGGCCUUCGGGUUGUAAACCGCUUUCAAUUGUGACGAAGCUUUUUUGUGACGGUAGCAGUAGAAGAAGCACCGGCUAACUACGUG